Molecule: long non-coding RNA, 520 nt
Organism: Oenanthe melanoleuca
Lineage: Eukaryota; Metazoa; Chordata; Aves; Passeriformes; Muscicapidae
Exons: 2
Source: RefSeq, a predicted model, not a curated record
CAGGCUCUGCAGACCCUCUCUUUGCUGACACCGUGGAGUGCCGUGCCCAGGGGAAGUUCUGCCGUGCCGGGGCGUGCCCACCCACCUUCGCUGCCACCGGGACGUGCCACGGGGGGCUGCUGAACUGCUGCUCCAAGAUUUUGGCAGAAUAAGAAGAAAAGGCUUUCCUUGAUCUGAGCCCUUCUACCAGCAACAUUUCCACUGCCUUGAGGAGCUGCUUUUCAUGGAUUCCUCCUCUAUCCAAAGCCUCCUGCAAAUGAGCAUUAAAAGAAGCUUCCAGAGGGCAUGUCCUGUUAGCACACUGCUUCUGGAGAUGCGGGUUUUUCCUCACUGAAGUCACUCCCUUUUUGCUUUUAAUACUCAAGCCACUUUGGCUCCUUGGCCACCUAUUGCAGCCUACCUCACAGGGGUGUUUGGAGGUUCAAUCACUUCAGGCUCAUGCAGCUCUUGGAGGAUGUGAAGCAAUAUAUAUAUUAUUAUUUUAUUCACACAUGAAAAUAAAGGUCUUCUUAAACCAUAA